ACAGCUACUUAUUUGAAUAGUAAAUAUUCACUUGAAGUUUUUUAAUUGCUUUAUUUUCAGAAUAAAAUACCUGUAGUUAUUUUAGGGCUUUUCCCCUAGAUAUUUAGUUUUAGAGUUACCUAUAUUCACAGUAAUUUAUUUUCAUUUAUUUUAGAGUCUGGGUUAUUUUUACACUCAUUUGGGGGUUUUUAGUUAUUAAUAUGUGGUUUUAAAUUAUUUUCAGUUGUUGCAUCUUGAGCAUUAUAUUUUGAGCUUCUUACUUUCAGAACUUUUGAGAUACUUAGUUUUUGAGUUAUUUUCAGAGUUACUUAUUCUCAGUCGUUUCUUUUCAGUCAUGUCUUUGUCAUUCAAGUUUUUUUCUAUUUUGUAUUUUUCAUUAUUUUGUUUUCAGUUUUAUUUACAGAAUUAUUAGUAUUUCUUUAGAAUUAUUUAAUCCUGAGGCCGUGUUUGGAAGAUGGUAAACUGCUGCUACUGCAAGGGAAAUGCAAUUUUGAAAUUUUUAGACUUCUUAAAAACCAGAAAAAUAAUAGAGGCUGAAUCUUCUGUGAA
RNAcentral lists this long non-coding RNA (549 nucleotides) under Bos taurus (domestic cattle). Its description in RNAcentral is "long non-coding RNA NONBTAT000927". Lineage: Eukaryota; Metazoa; Chordata; Mammalia; Artiodactyla; Bovidae. The record is from RNAcentral.